AAAAAAAAACUUGUGUUGGAUCUCAACACAAGUACUUGUGUGAAAAUUAUUCUACACAAGUUAUGUGUUGUUUUGCAUUGCAUUAACACAAACUUGUGUUCUUUUUAAUGCAUUAACACAAAUCUUGUGUUUUUUCCAUAUAAUUAACACAAGUAAUGUGUACCGUCAACAAAUAUUUUUUUUUUUAAAUUUGAACUCCAUACAAAGUCUUAAUCCGGGGGUCCACAAGUAAGAGAAAGGUAUUUUUUACUCAGACAAUAUAGCCAGACAGACUUGAAUGCUAAUUGGUGUUAAGAUGUCUGUAGUUAAAAUAAAGUUGGGCCCAAUAAACUGGUAGAUCCAAGGCCUGUUGAGCGCUCAUGCCCGGUGUGAUUUUAACAAUUGACUCCAAAUGCGUUGACAAGAAAAUAAGUAAAACUGUUAUUGAAUGUGAUUGGUUGAUAAAAUCAACGUACUAUAGGCUACAUUUUGUCUGCGAUAUCAUCUCGGUGGAAGCGGACAUUAAAUGAAGUGAUUUCACACAAUUAAUUUAACAUUUAACAACGUGCUGAAAUGAUUUUGGAGCAGUGAUAUGUUUGACAAAUGUAAGCUAAUGGUCACAUAGAAUACAAGACCGCAGGUUUGUGAAUAUUUAUAUAAAAAAAAUAAUACCAUGUAUGUAAUUUAGCAUCGAUAUUGUUUCUCUGUAUAAUAUUAGUAUUUCGUUUCCUUAAAAAAAACUCCAACAAUUUAAACCGGAAGUUCAUGUUUAUAAUAUGGCGCGUUCAGGAAAAAAAUUUCGGCAUGUUAUUAUCAAAUCUGUUCAAUUUUUCUGAAAUCAUGCUUAAUUAACAUUAGUUGUUCGGCGCUACGAUGUUGUUCAAAUACUUACAUUACAGAAUCACAUUAUGAUUAAAGCAGAAACGGUUCGACUUGAACCAGCAGUUUCAAUAUUGGAUGUAUAUGCAAAUCACCCAGAAAAAGAUCAUGUAAUAACAAAAGAAAUUAUAAAAGAAAAAAAGGAAGAAGAAAUGGCUGGAAAAAAUGAUGAUAGAGCAUCUUUUUCUUGUUACCCACCUCGGAAGAUCAAGUUGGAAAGGGCUAUUGAUAUUGUGGAGACGUUUUCUCACAGAUCUUGCUUAUCAGAUAAAGACUAUGCUGGAACACCAUUGAAAGAGUAUUUGCUGUAUGAUAACAACAAGAAAACCCAAGCAUCAAUUUAUUUUAUACUUCUGGGAAAGAAUGCAUUUGACCCAAUUUUUAAAUAUUUAUUUUUUGUUAUUAAUGUUAAAUUUUCUUCCAAAACACAAUUAGAUUUUAAUUCUCUUCAGAAAUGUAUGUAUAAUAUAGCAAGUAAAGUGGCAUAUAAAUCACUUAGAAUUCGGUCAGAAAUCAUAAAGUAUUUAAUAGGCAUUACUAGAAACCAAAUGUAGAUCAAAUACACCCAGAAUUACAAAAAACCUUGACCUACAUAAAGGUGACUUUCCCUUGCUUAUGAAAUGAAAUACGGUUUAGUAUCCUACUUUUCUGUGUUCUUAGAGUGAUUCUGCCCUACACCCUACUCUUAUAUCAAAUAUUUCAACUGUCAAGGGUUCUUCAACGGGAACCCGGGGGGGGGGGGGCAAUGAUUAACACGCACACAUUUGAUCAGGAAGUCUGUCAUUGAGUCAAAUAAUUCAAUUGUCAAGGCUUCUUCUAAGUGAACGCAGUGGGGAUGGUUUCGAUUCCGGGAAUGGGGGAGGGGGUGGUGGAUGGCCGAAUGGUAAGCAUGUGCGUGCGGUAUCAUAGGCCUGUCAUUGAGUCAACUGGCGUGGUUUCGAAUCCCCGGUUGUACGUGACAAGGAGUAGGGUCGCCUGUCCAAUCUUGUGGGUUUUCUACGGGACCUACGGUUUCCUCCCACUGCUAAAGACCCCUAUGCGCAACGAAUUAUUGAAAUAAAAUUAAACCAUAUGUUAAUCCCGAAAUGACCUAGUUUGUGUCAAGUGGACGUUAAACCCCAUUUCUCUCUCUCUCUCUUUCGAUUCCGGGCUUGUACCCAAUUAUCCCUUGCCAUAUCCAAGACUACUGACAAGUGGGAACUAUGCCGGAAAAUCCAGUUGAAAUUUCUCGGCCAACACCUUAUACUCACUGAACCACUGUGGCUUAUGACUUGUAAUUGUAUAUAAAUUUUUUGUGCAUAUGAUAUUUUUUUAUUUCAAUCCUAUAAUCUUGAUGCUUUGCUUCUUUUAUUUACAAAAUAUUCAUUUUGUUUGGGUUUUUGUAAUGAGGAAAAGGUUUUACAUCAUUUUAUUUCUCCUGCAAAAUAGUGCAUUUUUCUUUUGUUAGUUAUUUCUAUAUGUCUCACAAAUCACUUGUAGUGUGAUUUUGUAGCACUUUUCAGUUUUUGAAAUUGUUUCAAUUUAGUGCAUAAUUAAUCUUAGUGCUUGGUUUGGAUGUUAUUAAAUUUAGAUAUUAUUUGAAUUAUAUAUUUUGGAGUAUGGGGUAGGGAUACUGUGUACAUAUCUUUAUAUUCUCAGUUCUUGUUUUGGGGUAAAGAACAAUUUAUAUAGCUAUUUUAUAUUUUGUGAUAGGUAAAGUGUGUGGGGUUAAGAACAAUUUAAAUAGCUAUGUUAUAUUUUGUGAUGGGUAAAGUGGUGUGUGUGUGUGUGUGGGGGGGGGGGUCAUUAU
Patella vulgata (common limpet) is the source of this 2647-nucleotide long non-coding RNA. RefSeq lists it as uncharacterized. The transcript has 4 exons. Lineage: Eukaryota; Metazoa; Mollusca; Gastropoda; Patellidae. The record is from RefSeq and is a predicted model, not a curated record.